Molecule: ribosomal RNA, 493 nt
Filed under: uncultured bacterium
Lineage: Bacteria
Description: bacterial SSU rRNA
Rfam family: Bacterial small subunit ribosomal RNA
Source: RNAcentral
AACGAACGUUGGCGGCGUGGAUUAGGCAUGCAAGUCGAGCGAGGACGGCCCCGCAAGGGGUCGAGCCGAGCGGCGAAAGGGGCAGUAAGGCGUGGGUAACCUACCCCGGGGAUGGGGAUAGCCACGGGAAACCGUGGGUAAUACCCGGCGAGAUAGCGGAUGCGCAUGUGUCUGCUAUGAAAUGAAUUUCGCCUCGGGAGGGGCUCACGUGGUAUUAGCUAGUUGGUGGGGUAAUGGCCUACCAAGGCAAAGAUGCCUAGCAGGUGUGAGAGCAUGACCUGCGCCACUGGCACUGAGACACUGGCCAGACACCUACGGGUGGCUGCAGUCGAGGAUCUUCGGCAAUGGGCGCAAGCCUGACCGAGCGACGCCGCGUGCGCGAUGAAGGCCUUCGGGUUGUAAAGCGCUGUCGAGGGGGAGGAAAGCCCGAAAGGGUUUGACCUAUCCCUGGAGGAAGCACGGGCUAAGUUCGUGCCAGCAGCCGCCGUAACAC